This 396-nucleotide ribosomal RNA is filed under the name uncultured fungus. RNAcentral's name for it is "eukaryotic LSU rRNA". The stretch from base 1 to 131 matches the Rfam family "5.8S ribosomal RNA", at positions 24 to 154 of the family's 154-position model. The record is from RNAcentral. Lineage: Eukaryota; Fungi.
GCUCUCGCAUCGAUGAAGAACGCAGCGAAAUGCGAUAAGUAAUGUGAAUUGCAGAAUUCAGUGAAUCAUCGAAUCUUUGAACGCACCUUGCGCUCCUUGGUAUUCCGAGGAGCAUGCCUGUUUGAGUGCCAUGAAAUUCUCAACCUAACGAGUCUUUGCGGGCUCGGUAGGCUUGGACUUGGAGGUUCUUGUCGGCCUAACGGUCGGCUCCUCUUAAAUGCAUUAGCUCGGUUCCUUGCGGAUCGGCUCACGGUGUGAUAAUUGUCUACGCCGCGACCGUUGAAGCGUUUUGGCCGGCUUCUAAUCGUCUCGUUGGAGACACUACUCUUUAUGACCUUCUGACCUCAAAUCAGGUAGGACUACCCGCUGAACUUAAGCAUAUCAAUAAGCGGAGGA